Molecule: unclassified non-coding RNA, 231 nt
Filed under: uncultured fungus
Lineage: Eukaryota; Fungi
Description: sequence contains ITS1
Source: RNAcentral
GUAUUGAUUGCGUAUGAUCGCAAAUGAAUGACAUUCUAAACUAGAAGGGUGUUUGUAUGAAAAACGCGAACCUCCCCUCUUGAAGCAAGCCAAGAGGAAGAGACCCCGCGCGGUGAUGCACAAAGGGUGAAAUGGAUUGAGAGCACUCGGGCGUGCACGACAAAAAGUCAGCGACAACCCGGGUACCCCCAUUGUACGAUAAUGAUCCUUCCGCAGGUUCACCUACGGAAA